GGGCCGUUAGUUCAAUGGGAGAAUCGCCGGCUUUUACCCGGGCAGAUCAGGGUUCGAGUCCCUGGCGGCCCACGA
This 75-nucleotide transfer RNA is filed under the name Actinomycetota bacterium. RNAcentral describes it as "Actinobacteria bacterium (soil metagenome) tRNA-Lys". It matches the Rfam family "tRNA". Rfam says of the family: Transfer RNA (tRNA) molecules are approximately 80 nucleotides in length. Their secondary structure includes four short double-helical elements and three loops (D, anti-codon, and T loops). The record is from RNAcentral. Lineage: Bacteria; Bacillati; Actinomycetota.